Molecule: ribosomal RNA, 774 nt
Filed under: uncultured Neocallimastigales
Lineage: Eukaryota; Fungi; Neocallimastigomycota; Neocallimastigomycetes; Neocallimastigales
Description: partial large subunit ribosomal RNA
Rfam family: Eukaryotic large subunit ribosomal RNA
Source: RNAcentral
AGAGAGAGACAUGCGCGCAUAUCAAUAAGCGGAGGAAAAGAAACUAACAAGGAUUCCCCUAGUAACGGCGAGUGAAGCGGGAAGAGCUCAAAUUUGAAAUCUUAAAGGGUUUCCCUUUACGAAUUGUAGUUUAAAGAAGUGUUUUCUGUUGAGGUUUUGGUAAAAGUUCUUUGGAAUAGGACAUCAUAGAGGGUGAGAAUCCCGUAUUUGACCUUUACUUUCAACUUUGUGAUACACUUUCAAAGAGUCGGAUUGUUUGGGAAUGCAGUCCAAAAUGGGUGGUAAAUUUCAUCUAAAGCUAAAUAUUGGCGAGAGACCGAUAGCGAACAAGUACCGUGAGGGAAAGAUGAAAAGAACUUUGAAAAGAGAGUUAAACAGUACGUGAAAUUGUCAAAAGGGAAGCGUUUGACACCUGUGUUGUUUUUCUGAAAAUCAAUUAAAGAACUGUUUAUGCUAAGUUGUUUAGACUUUAUCAGCUAACUGUUUAGUUUUGAGCUUUUCUUUAAUGCACUUUUCAGUUAACAAGUCAACAUCAAUUUCUUUUGCUGUAAAAAAGCUUGAGGAAGGUGGCUUGAGAUUCGUCUUAAGUGUUUAUAGCCUCUUGCCUAUGCAGUCGGAGAGAUUGAGGUCUGCAGCGUAGAUCCUUCGGGGCUAAAUGCAUUUGUGCUAAGUUAUAGCAUUUUAUAGACAACUUGUUGACUAUGAUUUGUCUUGUAGCUUACUCGCUUAUGUUAUUUUACCUACGCUUAGGAUGUUGAGCGCAUGUCUCUCUCU